GUUGGACGGUUCGAUCUGAUCGAACGAGAGAGAAGAAAGAUACGUAAUCGACGUCCGGAGAAAAAGCUAGGCUUUCUCAGUCCUCGCUCGCUGCUCUCAAAUGGCAACAGGCAAGGGAGUUUGGGAGUGAUGGGAGCUCACACAACUCUGAUCCCAUUUUACCACAACCCCACCAAUUCUUGCCUUUUUUUGUCUGGUAAGCCUUUCAAUUCUCUAUUUUCCCAUUUCGAUUAUUUGGAUUUAGACGGAUCUUAUGGCAUAUAAAUAGCGAGAAUUUCAUAAACCAAAAAGAAAAUUUUGAUUCUGACAUAUUGGGAUAGUUGGAACUCGGAAGGCAUCAAUCAGUUGAUUUGAAAGAAUACAACUUUAAUCUUCUAGCAAAAUAUAACGCAACCAUUGACUACACAUGUUUGGAAUUUGAAGCAGCCGGAAAAAACCAAUUCUCACAAUGAUAGAAAUCAAAGGAAAAUAUUAUGUUUCUUUAUGGAUAAACAUUGUUGGGAGAGAAAAGAAAGGUUUUUUGUGUGUGUAGUGAAUGUAUAAUUGUAUAUGCCAAUGUGCAUACAAUUUUGUCUGGUUAUGCGUUUUUAGUGUCUCAUUGUAGAAUUGUAAAUUUAAGGACUUGUAGGAAUUCAGAAAUUGAUUUUUUUAAUCUGUCAAUGUAGUUUGGAGGGAGCUUUUGCUGGGGCAUUUGGGGCAGGAAUCGGGUGUAUCUGUUUGAAACCGAAAUACUGGGGCCAAUCUUUUCUUUGUGCAAGUCAGGUAUGAUAAUAGAGUAAAGAUGUUAUAGAUGUAACAUCCAUGGCUAAUGGUUAAAGCUCACUUUUUUGGUAUGUAAUCAUAUGGAUGUCAUUGAACUUCAUAGAAACUCUAUGUAGGAAAGUAAGUUUUCAAGCAUUGGAAAUGGCAUUUUAUUUUCUUGGUAAAGUCUUUCCAUAGCUUAGUUUUGAAGCCUGGUAUCAAAUGUACGGUGUUUCCUCCUCCUGCAUCCCUCUUCUCUCUAUUUUACAUUAUGAUUGGAAUCAGGCAAUAAAGAGUCAUGAAGACCGUUGACCUCUUUAGGUCAAUGAUGUGCCUUCCACAUAGUUAGCUUGAUUUUUUAUUGUUACAAUACUUAGUUGGAUUUUAUUGUACUUAGUGUUUGAGGUUGAGGAUGUUCACAGGAUUUUAGAGGACAUCUCGUUCAUCCCCUUUCUAACUAUUUUAUCAUUAAUAAAAUCCAUAUUUGUUACCGAAAAAAGAAAAGAAAAAAGGGGCUUACUUUGAGGUUGCUACGUGCACCCUCACUCAACACUGAACGAAAGACAGGCAUAUGCACUCAUAUGACUUAUGAUCAUAUUGUUGCGUAAUUGUGGAUUUAUUUUUCUUUCAUUAGGCAGAUAGUGGUCAUCACUGCAAUGGAUGUAGCUUUUGCUGGUCUAAUGGUAUAUAGAAUAGUGAUAGUUUGUAUGUCUCACUCUUUUACAUCAUUUGCUUUGUACCACUGGGAAAAUAGGAUCUCAACUCCAAAUAAAUAACUAAACUUUAUUCAAAUAGGAUUGUGAUUCAUAACAUGCAUUCACCACACUAGCUUAUUGUUUUAUUUUGUCCCAACAAGGAAAGUUCAGACAUACCAUCUUUUGAUCAUUGAUGAAUCAUAGGCAGUUAGGAUUUUGGCCUCUAAAUGAUUUAGUUGUCAUUACUCUGUUGCUCUUUCCUUAAUAACCUCUGGUUCUUAUUUCUUCAAAAUUAUGAUCACUAUGCAGGUUAUCAUGAAGGCUUGAAUAUUUGACUGAGUAGGGGAAGAAAAAAUUCUUACGCAAGUUCAAGUAUCAUUUAGUGCAUAUCUCACCACUCCCCUCAAUGGGAUCAAUACAAGAGGUCAGGUCCCCUGAUCAACCUUGAGGUAUCAGUUCUGUUUUGUGGUUAAUUUUAUUAUCAUUAGUUUCAAGUGACUUUCAGUUGUCAGUGUGGGACAAAAAUCUUUUGCUGUAUAAUGUGCUGUUAGUGUACUUACUGUUACUUGAACAAGGCUCGACGAGUCAGCAGUUGUGCAUGUGAACACUGAUCACAUAGGUACACAGGCACAAACAUCAUUUAUCUUUCGUAUCGUUUAGGGGUUUUUACAAUCCUAUUGCUGUUUUGUUGAUGAACCCUUGACUAACAUUUUGGUUAAAUGUUGUCACAUAACAGAGUCUUGGGGACGAAAUUGAGGGGCUAUUGACUGAAAAUAUACUCAGUAAAGUUUUGUUGAUUGUUAUUUCAAACUGGCCUUUCAACAUCGUCGCCAAGAUGGGCAACUUGCCUUUCAAUCUGCCUUUCAAUCUGGUUGUAUUACUCAUUGGCUUACAGUUAAAUGUGAUAGCAAAAGGAUUUUCUAAGUUCAAUCUAUAAUGUUUGUUGUGAACUUUAGGUCAAUUAAUGCCUGGAUGCAAUUCGUUGCAUAUGGAUGGAGGAAGAUGCACAGGGGAUGUUCAAAGAUAGCAGUCUUCUGGAUUAUACUAUCCACAGCUUCAGCUCCUACUUUUAACGGUUGUGGUAUUUGUGAGAGACCAUUUCAAAGGACUGAGAAUAAGCAAGAAGUUGCUAGCAAGUUAGUAGAGAAAAAGAAUCGCCUUCAGAAUGGGUGGAGUGAUAAAAUUGCACUGAAAUUUUUUUCGUAUCCCAUCUGGUUUGUUGAAUUGAUUGGGGCAUUUCCAUGUAUCGAAGUAAAUAUUUUGUAUGAGAAUUUGUGAACUGUUUUCAUGUAAUAUGUGUACAUACAUAUAAAGAUAAUGAAAAGAAGGUUUUUAUGUU
RNAcentral lists this long non-coding RNA (2775 nucleotides) under Prunus dulcis (almond). Its description in RNAcentral is "sRNA ncRNA". Lineage: Eukaryota; Viridiplantae; Streptophyta; Magnoliopsida; Rosales; Rosaceae. The record is from RNAcentral.